UUUUUUUUGAAACAGCAAUAAUUAACUCCAUGAUUGCCACAUUCUGUCACCAAGAGAUGUGUUAUUACCGUAAAGCUGAAAUAAUCUUCUGAGGUGGAUCUGAUGGUGGGGUGGCAGCUUCAUGCUUGUCAGUUUCUUGACUAAUAAACCCUUUGAUACUUUUAGCGGGAAAUCAGUCUCAUAAAGCUAUUUUGAGUAUAGUUUGUGUAAAAUAAAACUGUUCAGCUUUGGCAAUAGCUUUCCAAGUUGAACUCCCUCUCUCUAUCUAGCAGGAUAUUUUUUCAGUGCUUUUAUUUACUAUGCACUUAGACUAUGCACUUUUUCUGAAAUAUUUUUGUAACACUUUUUUGUAUUUUUGCCAUUUGAAAAGGUUGUGGUGUUGUUGGUAUGUCAUUAAGUUGCAGGUUUGAAACUGCUGUUAGCUUUGUGACUCAGAAUCUAGAAAUGUUCUGUCCUGGUAUUUUGUCGUCCCAUCUACAGCUGGAGCUGGAAUCCGUUGAUCUUCUAGCUACCAUUCAUUUUCUUCACAGUUCACAAAGAAGAGCGUGAAAUUCAGUGAAUGCAGUUACUAAUCCUGUCUGGAAAUGAAUCUCAUUUCACCAAAUCAAUUGUGUUUUUCCACUAAAAUGAUGGUGUAUGUUGAAGACAUCACUCUGAGAUUGGAAGACCUCACCACUAAAGGCUCCAUCCACAGUGGCUGGCUCAGCUGAACUUUAGGUUGCCAUUCUUUUCUUUGUUCACCAUUGGGUGAUGCAGCUUUUUAACUGUUGGGAGAUGGCCAUUCUAACUACUGUUGAAUGUCUCUGUUUUGGGAAGGUAAAAUAAGAAAAUAAAAAAAGAAUAUAUAUGAAGGGAGAGGCUGGUUGUCUCUCCCAUGUGGUUGUGAAUAUGCUCUUAUGACCCACAAGUGGACAUACAAGGCUUAUCUUUGCUGUGAUUUCCUCUCUGCUUUAAGUCUAUCAUACUGUAAAUAUUUCAGAGUGUACUGUAACACGAGCUGAAUUGUGAUAAAUCAUGAACUGCAGAGACAGACGGUGUAGUCUAAGCCAGUAGGCUGUUCUCCCUGGAGAUUGCUGGGAAUAAUAAAGAAUAGUUUAUUGU
RNAcentral lists this long non-coding RNA (1101 nucleotides) under Mus musculus (house mouse). RNAcentral's name for it is "long non-coding RNA chr18:61589212-61590313". Lineage: Eukaryota; Metazoa; Chordata; Mammalia; Rodentia; Muridae. The record is from RNAcentral.